Molecule: unclassified non-coding RNA, 520 nt
Filed under: uncultured Glomus
Lineage: Eukaryota; Fungi; Glomeromycota; Glomeromycetes; Glomerales; Glomeraceae
Description: SSU rRNA
Rfam family: Eukaryotic small subunit ribosomal RNA
Source: RNAcentral
AGCAGCCGCGGUAAUUCCAGCUCCAAUAGCGUAUAUUAAAGUUGUUGCAGUUAAAAAGCUCGUAGUUGAAUUUCGGGAUCAGUUGGUCGGUCGUGCCUCGGUACGUACUGGUCAAAUUGAUUCCUACCUUCUGACGAACCACGAUGUCAUUAAUUUGGUGUCGCGGGAAAUCAGGACUGUUACUUUGAAAAAAUUAGAGUGUUUAUAGCAGGCUCGCGCUUGAAUACAUUAGCAUGGAAUAAUGAAAUAGGACGUUUGAUUCUAUUUUGUUGGUUUCUAGGAUCGACGUAAUGAUUAAUAGGGAUAGUUGGGGGCAUUAGUAUUCAAUUGUCAGAGGUGAAAUUCUUGGAUUUAUUGAAGACUAACUACUGCGAAAGCAUUUGCCAAGGAUGUUUUCAUUAAUCAAGAACGAAAGUUAGGGGAUCGAAGACGAUCAGAUACCGUCGUAGUCUUAACCAUAAACUAUGCCGACUAGGGAUCGGAUGAUGUUAAUUUUUUUCAAUGACUCAUUCGGCGCCUU